Molecule: ribosomal RNA, 253 nt
Filed under: uncultured bacterium
Lineage: Bacteria
Description: partial 16S ribosomal RNA
Rfam family: Bacterial small subunit ribosomal RNA
Source: RNAcentral
UACGGAGGAUGCGAGCGUUAUCCGGAUUCAUUGGGUUUAAAGGGUGCGCAGGCGGAAUAAUAAGUCAGUGGUGAAAUCUCCCGGCUCAACCGGGAAACUGCCAUUGAUACUGUUGUUCUUGAGUACAGUUGAAGUGGGCGGAAUGUGUCAUGUAGCGGUGAAAUGCUUAGAUAUGACACAGAACACCGAUAGCGAAGGCAGCUCACUAAGCUGUAACUGACGCUCAUGCACGAAAGCGUGGGGAUCAAACAGG